AGCCCAUGACAAGGCCAAAUCAUUUCUCCUCGACCAGUGCUCCGCGCCGCCGCUGCCACACUCGUCGGACUCCUCGCCGCCGACCUGCAAAAGAGAGCUGCAGAGCCAGGGUUCGAUGUAGCCUGGCGCCGCCCCGCACGCUCGCGCCUCGCUUCUCUCUCAGCGCCGCAAUGCCGCUGUUCUAAUCAAGCACGCGCGCGCGCGCAACAGCUGCCGAGUUGCCUGACGAGGCCACGCUGGUGGAGACGCAUCGGCACACUCGUUCGCAUCCGCAUCCGUGGACACGUAAACGUCGAACCCCAAGUACACGGAGGAGUUACGUGGUGAGGUCGACCCUCAACUGGAAGACCAGAUGGAGAGUGGGAUACUAGGCAAGUCAUAUUUCUUUAUCCAUGCUGAUCCUACAUGCCACAUGAAAAAUAUUUACUAUAGCUUGAUAAUUCAUAUUCCUGGAUGCUUUUUAUUUACCAGCUUAAUUUUGAAUGACAUACAAUUAGCUUAUGCCUAACACCGAUAAGCCUGAUUGCUUCCAUAUGUAUUUACUAA
Molecule: long non-coding RNA, 546 nt
Organism: Lolium perenne
Lineage: Eukaryota; Viridiplantae; Streptophyta; Magnoliopsida; Poales; Poaceae
Source: RefSeq, a predicted model, not a curated record